Molecule: small nuclear RNA, 108 nt
Organism: Hyaena hyaena (striped hyena)
Lineage: Eukaryota; Metazoa; Chordata; Mammalia; Carnivora; Hyaenidae
Source: RefSeq, a predicted model, not a curated record
CUGCUAGCUUCAGUAGUACAUAUACUAAUAUUGGAAUGACAUACAGAAGAUUAGCAUGGUCCCUGUGUUAAGGAUGACAUCCACUGUUGUGAAGUGUUCCAUAUUUUU